RNAcentral lists this ribosomal RNA (492 nucleotides) under uncultured bacterium. RNAcentral describes it as "partial 16S ribosomal RNA". It matches the Rfam family "Bacterial small subunit ribosomal RNA", at positions 28 to 507 of the family's 1533-position model. The record is from RNAcentral.
GAUGAACGCUAGCUCCAGGCUUAACACAUGCAAGUCGAGGGGAAACGGCAUCGAAAGCUUGCUUUUGAUGGGCGUCGACCGGCGCACGGGUGAGUAACGCGUAUCCAACCUGCCCAUCACUUGGGAAUAACCUUGCGAAAGUAAGACUAAUGCCCAAUGACAUCCCACGAAGGCAUCCGAAUGGGAUUAAAGAUUUAUCGGUGAUGGAUGGGGAUGCGUCUGAUUAGCUUGUUGGCGGGGUGACGGCCCACCAAGGCAACGAUCAGUAGGGGUUCUGAGAGGAAGGUCCCCCACAUUGGAACUGAGACACGGUCCAAACUCCUACGGGAGGCAGCAGUGAGGAAUAUUGGUCAAUGGGCGAGAGCCUGAACCAGCCAAGUAGCGUGCAGGAUGACGGCCCUAUGGGUUGUAAACUGCUUUUAUAAGGGAAUAAAGUGGGUCACGUGUGACUUUUUGCAUGUACCUUAUGAAUAAGGACCGGCUAAUUCCGUG